AAGUUUUGGGCUCAAUCCGAAAUCGAUUGGGCCAAGAAAUUGGACUACUCAUUUUCGUAAGAAGUUUGUUCUGAAAUGGAUUGGUUGGUGUAUUGCAUAGUUUUAGCUGUUGAAUUUCACUCAACUCAACAAAACUCCUCCCACCAUAUUAUGUUGUUCCCCAAGUUUUGGGCUCAAUCCGACAUCAAUUUGUCCAAGAAAUUGGACAAUUCAAGUUCGUACGAAGUUCGUUCAGAAAUGCAGUGGUUUGUGUAUUGCAUAGUUUUAGAGAUUGCAUUUCAGUUAAAACUC
RNAcentral lists this long non-coding RNA (291 nucleotides) under Prunus persica (peach). RNAcentral's name for it is "long non-coding RNA (PPER_LNC008067)". Lineage: Eukaryota; Viridiplantae; Streptophyta; Magnoliopsida; Rosales; Rosaceae. The record is from RNAcentral.